This 254-nucleotide ribosomal RNA is filed under the name uncultured bacterium. RNAcentral's name for it is "partial 16S ribosomal RNA". It matches the Rfam family "Bacterial small subunit ribosomal RNA", at positions 524 to 776 of the family's 1533-position model. The record is from RNAcentral.
UACGUAGGGUGCUAGCGUUGUCCGGAAUUAUUGGGCGUAAAGAGCUCGUAGGCGGUCUGGCGCGUCGGUCGUGAAAACUUGGGGCUUAACCCUGAGCUUGCGGUCGAUACGGGCAUGACUGGAGUUCGGCAGGGGAGACUGGAAUUCCUGGUGUAGCGGUGAAAUGCGCAGAUAUCAGGAGGAACACCGGUGGCGAAGGCGGGUCUCUGGGCCGAUACUGACGCUGAGGAGCGAAAGCGUGGGGAGCGAACAGG